AGCCUACGGGAGGCAUCAGUGAGGAAUCUUGGUCACUGGCCUCGAGGCUGAACCAGCCAAGUCGCGUGAGGGAAGACGGCCCUACGGGUUGUAAACCUCUUUUGUCGGGGAGCAAAGCGAGUCACGUGUGACUCAUUGAGAGUACCCGAAGAAAAAGCAUCGGCUAACUCCGUGCCAGCAGCCGCGGUAAUACGGAGGAUGCGAGCGUUAUCCGGAUUUAUUGGGUUUAAAGGGGGCGCAGGCGGAGGUGCAAGUCAGCGGUCAAAUUGCGGGGCUCAACCCCGUACUGCCGUCGAAACUGCAUC
This 305-nucleotide ribosomal RNA is filed under the name uncultured bacterium. RNAcentral describes it as "bacterial SSU rRNA". It matches the Rfam family "Bacterial small subunit ribosomal RNA", at positions 335 to 639 of the family's 1533-position model. The record is from RNAcentral.